Non-coding RNA from Budorcas taxicolor (takin), 74 nucleotides. The record is from the annotation of a RefSeq genome assembly. Lineage: Eukaryota; Metazoa; Chordata; Mammalia; Artiodactyla; Bovidae.
GUCUCUGUGGUGUAACUGGUUAGCGCGUUCGGCUGUUAACCGAAAGGUUGGUGGUUCAAGCCUAUCCAGGGACG